RNAcentral lists this long non-coding RNA (1246 nucleotides) under Oncorhynchus kisutch (coho salmon). RNAcentral's name for it is "lncRNA (ENSOKIG00005000284.1)". Lineage: Eukaryota; Metazoa; Chordata; Actinopteri; Salmoniformes; Salmonidae. The record is from RNAcentral.
CAUACAGAAAUGUUUUGUUGAGAUCAGUGUGGAAGAACUUGACUGGCCUGCAUAGAGCCCUGACCUCAACCCCAUCAAACACCUUUAGGAUGAAUUGGAAAGCCAACUGCGAGCCAGGCCUAAUCACCCAACGUCAGUGUCCGACCUCACUAAUGCUCUUGUGGCUGAAUGGAAGCAAGUCCCCGCAGCAAUGUUCCAACAUCUAAAGCCUUCCCAGAACAGUAGAGGCUGUUAUAGCAGCAAAGGGGGGAACCAACUCCAUAUUAAUGCCCAUGAUUUUGGAAUGAGAUGUUCGACGAGCACAUACUUUUGACGAGGUGUCCACAUACUUUUGGUCAUGAAGUGUAUGUUCUUAUACUCCUUAGUUUGAGUCUGAGUUAGAGGCUUAUGCAACGGGUGUGGCUGGAAUAGCCGAAUGCUGUGUGUAGCAUUGUUCGGUGUAUCCAUAUCUCUCCUUUGUUGUCUGUGUUUGAUAGAUCUGCUGACCAGUGGGCAGUCUAGCCACUGUGUGUCUCUAUCCAUCCCUUUCCCUCCAGCUGUUCCACAGGGCCAACCCUCCUCAAACAGCUCACACCUGGCUCUGCUGCGCCCCCAGCAGGACAGUUAUAGGUUUGUUGAUAGGUCCACCCACCAACUCAACCCCGGGUCCCACCAACACCAACUGCCUGGCCCCUCCAGUCCUCACACUCAUCAUCCUACUGUCUUAUCCCUAAAGACCAGCACACCCCUGAAUCAUCCCAGUCACACUCCUGUAGUAAACACAGACCAACACCCAGGUAAAUGACACCUACUAACUACAGGUACCUCAUAUGUUCGCUGCAUCUAUUACGUGUUAAUGUGCUGAGUUGGCGAUAUCCUUCAUUGGAAUGUCAAAAGUGACAUUCGAUAAUGCAUCACAGAGAUCUUCAUAGAAUUACACCUGCACCUACAAAGGGGCUUUGCUUAUUGACUGUGGAAAUGUGCCUGGGGAAAGAAAGCAAUGGUACAAUUCCUCUGGGAAAUUUAUACUCCGCAAUGAGAGUUAUUGUUUGUUUUAUUAUGAAAAAGUCUAUUAAAGAAUCGUGUGGGUGGUUUGACAUUCUGUAGGUUGAUCUUGGCUUAUUUCUAUCAGUUGUGUAGCUGGUGGCUGAUGUUCUUCAACGUAGGAAAGAAGAAGCAGCUUCACUCUCAAUCAUAGCUUAAAAUAGAUAUCACUUUUUUCCUACUGGACAGCAGUACUUAAUGUUGACAAGGUGUUCACACAAGC